AGGCRGCAGGCACGCAAAUUACCCACUCCCGGCACGGGGAGGUAGUGACAAAAAAUAACGAUACGGGACUCUUUUGAGGCCCCGUAAUCGGAAUGAGUACACUUUAAAUCCUUUAACAAGGAUCCAUUGGAGGGCAAGUCUGGUGCCAGCAACCGCGGUAAUUCCAGCUCCAAUAGCGUAUAUUAAAGUUGUUGCGGUUAAAAAGCUCGUAGUUGGUUCUGCGUGCUACGCUGCUGGUUCGCCGCCUGUCGGUGUAACUGGCAUGUCGUGGCAUGUCCUGUCGGUGGCGAAAGGGCGGUCUUGUUCUAGGUGACGGCUCGGGUAAAACCGUGUCCGUAGGCCGGAGAUCUAACCCUUUCGCCUACUCUAUCCUACCUAGGUGCUCUUCACCGAGUGUCGAGGUAGGCCGACACGUUUACUUUGAACAAAUUAGAGUGCUCAAAGCAGGCUGAAAUCUCUGCCUGAAUAGUGGUGCAUGGAAUAAUAAAACAGGACCUUGGUUCUAUUUUGUUGGUUCUUAGGAACACAAGGUAAUGAUCAAUACGGACAGGCGGGGGCAUUCGUAUUGCGACGUUAGAGGUGAAAUUCUUGGAUCGUCGCAAGACGCACAAGAGCGAAAGCAUUUGCCAAGUAUGUCUUGAUUGAUCAAGAACGAAAGUUAGAGGUUCGAAGGCGAUCAGAUACCGCCCUAGUUCUAACCAUAAACGAUGCCAGCCAGCGAUCCGCCGAUGUUCCUCCGAUGACUCGGCGGGGAGCUUCUUCCCGGGAAACCAAAGCUUUUGGGUUCCGGGGGAAGUAUGGUUGCAAAGCUGAAACUUAAAGGAAUUGACGGAAGGGCACCACCAGGAGUGGAGCCUGCGGCUUAAUUUGACUCAACACGGGAAACCUCACCAGGCCAGGACAUUGGAAGGAUUGACAGAUUGAUAGCUCUUUCUUGAUUCAGUGGGUAGUGGUGCAUGGCCGUUCUUAGUUGGUG
RNAcentral lists this ribosomal RNA (976 nucleotides) under Peritropisca bituberculata. Its description in RNAcentral is "SSU rRNA". It matches the Rfam family "Eukaryotic small subunit ribosomal RNA", at positions 425 to 1314 of the family's 1831-position model. The record is from RNAcentral. Lineage: Eukaryota; Metazoa; Arthropoda; Insecta; Hemiptera; Miridae.